UCUCCUGUAACACAACAAUCCUCAGUUAUAUCAAUGAAUGUAUUAGAAGCAAAUAGAAAAAUAUAUAUAUCUAUGUGAAAGGCCAGCAUGAGUCAAGUUAAGUUUGCUAUUGUUUAUUGUUUUCGUUCAGAGACCUUAUCAUAAUUAUCUUAAACACACAGACAGUGAUUUCUCUUCAUUUGUAAAUUUGCACAGAUGACUCCUCCCUGAUCUACCAAUAAAGCAAUUUAAAAUAGAGGUGGCCCUACCCUUUACUAAUGAGAAAAAAAAGACUGAUCAAUAAAGCCUAUAAGGCCCAAUAAGGCUUUGUGAAGAGUGAAGCAUGCAGAGCUUUUGAAAUCAAGCAGCGUGUUUUGGGGUUUAAAAGCCACAGAGACACAGUGUUUCGAAAAAAUGCAUCUCAGCUGCUCCGAUACUCCUGACACGGGAUCACUACAGGUUUUCGCUUAGUCAGCAGUUGUCCUCUCCUGGAUCGACUGGAGCUUUCGUUAGGAGCCUUCCCAGCUUUGACAAAUUGAUGUGAUGUUCUUCUGCUUCCCUUUUUGUAUUUUCAUCACUGAGCAGUGACAAAUUUUCUCAUGAUAGUCUUUCUGGUUUAGUAAAACUGUGCACCUACCGUUGUCUGCUGGAAGGAUGAUGAUGUUGUUGUCAUUAGUAAGUGAUGUGAGUGCCUUCCUCUCCUUCAUGCUGAUGUUGGAUGCUGGGGGCUUUGCAUUGCUGAGACAGGCCGAAACUUUUGUCCGCAGUUGCUCUGCUUCCACGUCUGCAUUGUUGUUGUUUCAAAUUGCAGUUUCUGUUUCUGUGAUCAGUUCCACCUGCGGGAUUUGUCUCGGUGUGACAGCAAAAUUCAACUCUUUAGCAAAUGUAGCCGGAUGGGCUACUCGCCUUUCUUUUCUCUCUCGCUCACUCUACUGCUCUCGCUCGCUCUCGCUGCGCAACUACGUUAAUUAGGAACCCACCUGUAUAUUGAUUACAGGGUGGUGUUUACCUGUAUAAAGGGAAGCCGGUUUUUCUUGUUGGAUCAUUCCUCCCGAGCUUCUGGUGCGACACAGCAGUAAAUGCUGGCCUAUCGGUUAAUUUUACGAUCGGAUCGUGUGACUGCUACAGCGCGGCUGUUUUUCUUUCCUUUGCUCCAGCCGUGGUGAGGAGACGCGUGAGUGCAUCCGCCGUGCAGUACAGCGCCUCCAAGUUCUGGGGUAAGCCGCUUAUUUUAUAGCUGCUAGUUUUGUAAAUUAAAGAAGAUUAAGGUUAGUUUUGCCUUUUCUUAUUUGUAGGAUUUGAUUGCUGCCGCACCCUCUCAGGGAUCAACUGCCUGAUUUUAAGCGAAGAGUUGAGACGCCUGCCUAGCUGCUGUCUUGUCUUGCCUUGUUUUAUCUCGUGUUCCGAUCUGUUGGCUGUCCAGUUUUGUUCCUGCUGCUUACCUCGCCCCUGGGGGCUUUGGGUCUCACGCUAAGCCCCUUUUGGACUAUCGUUUCACUCCAGCUUUCGCGGCUGGUCGGGGCGAUCCUCAGCUGCAUAUUGGGCUGGUGUUACAAAACUGGUACUGCCUCUCCCUUUUCUCCCAGUUGUGGAGAGCUGCGCGAGACUGAGUGGGGCUACGGACAAUCGGUACCAGCACCAGCUGUGGGCUGGCUCGCAGAGUACAAGUACUUCUAAUCUGUGCUCUGUGGUGUGUAUGUGGGUGUGUUUUAUUGCAGAUCUCCAUUUUUCUUAAUUUCUUUUUUUAGUAUAUAGAGAGCCUGUUUUAUGUGUAUGUCUUGUGCUUUUAUUUCAGCGAACUGAGGAUCUACCAGCGGCCGUGGGACCUUAGGGGGCGGGUCGUUUUCCACACUUCUUUUGUUGUACAGCACCAGGUGAAUAGACUAUAGUAGGUUUUUUGUGUGGUUUUCUUUUGGUCCACCCCCGCUGGUAAGUCCCAGUUGUGUUUAUUUUUAUUGUAAUUUGGGACACCGUUUUAGACAUUCAGUGCGCUCUCAGUGUUUUGUUUUUUAUUUUACAUUAAUAAAUAAAAUUGUGUUAAUAUUUGAGUCGGCCUCAGUGUGCAUCCCUGAACCUGUGCAAAUGUUGUUGUUGUUGUUGUUUUAAUUACAUUUCAUUUUUAAAGUUCAUAUUUCCUGGGGGCUAGAAUUCCACCUCAGGUGGCGUUGUCAUUUUAUUUCUUUUAUAACCCCGCCGACCACUUGGUCACACAAAGAUGUUCUUCUCUGUUUGGGUGAGCUGUCUGUCAGACAAAUUCUUCCCCCACUUGUCCACAUCCUCCGUGUGGCGUCUUUCUCUCUUCUAGCCGCUGAGGACACGCUCCAUAUUUGGCUGUGGUAUACGCUACAUCCAGAUGAACAAAAUCAACUUUUGGGGAUUAGACAAUGCUUGUACUACUGAAAAUCACUUUAUCCAUAAAAACCACGUAAACAGACAUGAAGAAGAAUGUGUUUGUAAGACUAACAGUAACCUCUGAGAACUGUUUCUGCUAUUGAAACAGCUUGUGUUGAUAACCCUGAAUGAUUCUUGGUCACAACAUUUGAAAGGUCAUUUUACUCCACACACUUUUGCAAAAUCACAUAGUUCGAACAUAAAAUCCCAGAAUAAUUAGUAUUUGAGAUUGCUGCAGCAACAUCAUUAAAGAAAAAUAUCUUUCCAUGUCACUGUGCUUUCAUUUGAAAAUAUAAAAUGUUAAAGUUUUUAAUUUAAAACAUAGAAACAGCAAAAAUUUAAGACAUUAAAGACGCCCUGAUGAUGUCUCAAUUCAUCGGUGUUUCCAUCUGAGAGUCUACAGGGCGAACACUGAAGUUGGGUUUUAGAAAUACAAGAUGGUAACAGGACACAUGUUAACUUUGACCACACUAACGUCUAGUUUAAGGUGAGAGAAGUAAAUGCAUCACAGAAGCUAAAAGGAGCUGCUUCUGCCGACAUUAGUUCAAACAAGUGAUUUUGGGUAAGACCCAUCAGAUGGUUCACAUCAUCUAACGAGACUCAAACAGAACCUGGAAUAUUAAAGUUCACUUCCUGUCUGUGUGAUGAUUGUACUUUUAUUGCUGUGUUGUAAACUGUGUAACUUCACAUGUUGUGAAAUCUUUGAGAAAAGGAGGACAGAUAAGUCAUAAACUCCUUGAUAUGUUGACAUCAUGUCAGUAAUGCACACAGACAUAUUGUGGCGUGUUGGGGAAGCAGCUAGUUCUCUCCCAUCAUGCCUUGGGACAUGUGCUGCUGUUUACAUGUUCUUGUUUUAUUGUUUAUGGUUACGUUACUUUUAACUGUUAUCUUGAAUGUUGUGUUUAUACCGCGGUACAAAGUCACUGACAGUUAUUGUUUUAUAGAAUGAAUGCAGUACCAUAAGUGAGUUCUGUUAUGCUGUUAUUGACCUUCGAAGCACAGUGUCAAACUGGCAAGUGUAUAAUAGAGAGCUCCACCCGUCAGCUUAGGGUUAAACAAGCUCCAUCUCUGUGUGGUGCUUCUUUGUUAAGAUUUCUCUGCAUGUCACAAUGUGUUGAAAAGGUGAGCUUACCUGUUAAGGCGGUGGUUCUUAACCUUGUUGGAGGUACUGAACCCCACCAGCUUCAUAUGUGCAUUCACUGAACCCCUUUUUAGUGAAAAAUAAAAUAUGAUUUUUUUUCAAAUUCAAGACACAGAUAAGUUUUUUACUGGUGCACAAAAUGAGCUGUGCAUGUCACGGCGGAGGCUCUGCCGAACCCCUGAGACCGACUCACCGAAUCCCUAGGGUUCGAUCGAACCCAGGUUAAGAACCACUGCGUUAAGGUAUGGCCCUCCAUACAGUCUGUACACACUUUGUCAUAGAUAAUACAGAUGUGAUAAUAAAUAAAACCAUAAGUAUUAA
Long non-coding RNA from Oreochromis niloticus (Nile tilapia), 3832 nucleotides. RefSeq lists it as uncharacterized. The record is from RefSeq and is a predicted model, not a curated record. NCBI's taxonomy places the organism in Eukaryota, Metazoa, Chordata, Actinopteri, Cichliformes, Cichlidae. The transcript is spliced from 2 exons.